GCGGCGUGCCUAAUACAUGCAAGUCGAACGAACUCUGGUAUUGAUUGGUGCUUGCAUCAUGAUUUACAUUUGAGUGAGUGGCGAACUGGUGAGUAACACGUGGGAAACCUGCCCAGAAGCGGGGGAUAACACCUGGAAACAGAUGCUAAUACCGCAUAACAACUUGGACCGCAUGGUCCGAGUUUGAAAGAUGGCUUCGGCUAUCACUUUUGGAUGGUCCCGCGGCGUAUUAGCUAGAUGGUGGGGUAACGGCUCACCAUGGCAAUGAUACGUAGCCGACCUGAGAGGGUAAUCGGCCACAUUGGGACUGAGACACGGCCCAAACUCCUACGGGAGGCAGCAGUAGGGAAUCUUCCACAAUGGACGAAAGUCUGAUGGAGCAACGCCGCGUGAGUGAAGAAGGGUUUCGGCUCGUAAAACUCUGUUGUUAAAGAAGAACAUAUCUGAGAGUAACUGUUCAGGUAUUGACGGUAUUUAACCAGAAAGCCACGGCUAACUACGUGCCAGCAGCCGCGGUAAUACGUAGGUGGCAAGCGUUGUCCGGAUUUAUUGGGCGUAAAGCGAGCGCAGGCGGUUUUUUAAGUCUGAUGUGAAAGCCUUCGGCUCAACCGAAGAAGUGCAUCGGAAACUGGGAAACUUGAGUGCAGAAGAGGACAGUGGAACUCCAUGUGUAGCGGUGAAAUGCGUAGAUAUAUGGAAGAACACCAGUGGCGAAGGCGGCUGUCUGGUCUGUAACUGACGCUGAGGCUCGAAAGUAUGGGUAGCAAACAGGAUUAGAUACCCUGGUAGUCCAUACCGUAAACGAUGAAUGCUAAGUGUUGGAGGGUUUCCGCCCUUCAGUGCUGCAGCUAACGCAUUAAGCAUUCCGCCUGGGGAGUACGGCCGCAAGGCUGAAACUCAAAGGAAUUGACGGGGGCCCGCACAAGCGGUGGAGCAUGUGGUUUAAUUCGAAGCUACGCGAAGAACCUUACCAGGUCUUGACAUACUAUGCAAAUCUAAGAGAUUAGACGUUCCCUUCGGGGACAUGGAUACAGGUGGUGCAUGGUUGUCGUCAGCUCGUGUCGUGAGAUGUUGGGUUAAGUCCCGCAACGAGCGCAACCCUUAUUAUCAGUUGCCAGCAUUAAGUUGGGCACUCUGGUGAGACUGCCGGUGACAAACCGGAGGAAGGUGGGGAUGACGUCAAAUCAUCAUGCCCCUUAUGACCUGGGCUACACACGUGCUACAAUGGAUGGUACAACGAGUUGCGAACUCGCGAGAGUAAGCUAAUCUCUUAAAGCCAUUCUCAGUUCGGAUUGUAGGCUGCAACUCGCCUACAUGAAGUCGGAAUCGCUAGUAAUCGCGGAUCAGCAUGCCGCGGUGAAUACGUUCCCGGGCCUUGUACACACCGCCCGUCACACCAUGAGAGUUUGUAACACCCAAAGUCGGUGGGGUAACCUUUUAGGAACCAGCCGCCUAAGGUGGGACAGAUGAUUAG
Molecule: ribosomal RNA, 1474 nt
Filed under: Lactiplantibacillus plantarum
Lineage: Bacteria; Bacillati; Bacillota; Bacilli; Lactobacillales; Lactobacillaceae
Description: bacterial SSU rRNA
Rfam family: Bacterial small subunit ribosomal RNA
Source: RNAcentral